This 483-nucleotide ribosomal RNA is filed under the name uncultured bacterium. Its description in RNAcentral is "partial 16S ribosomal RNA". It matches the Rfam family "Bacterial small subunit ribosomal RNA", at positions 30 to 507 of the family's 1533-position model. The record is from RNAcentral.
AUUGAACGCUAGCGGCAGGCCUAACACAUGCAAGUCGAGCGGAUGAAGGGAGCUUGCUCCUGGAUUCAGCGGCGGACGGGUGAGUAAUGCCUAGGAAUAUGCCUGGUAGUGGGGGAUAACGUACGGAAACGGGCGCUAAUACCGCAUACGUCCUGAGGGAGAAAGUGGGGGAUAUUCGGACCACACGCUAUCAGAUGAGCCUAGGUCGGAUUAGCUAGUUGGUGGGGUAAAGGCCUACCAAGGCGACGAUCCGUAACUGGUCUGAGAGGAUGAUCAGUCACACUGGAACUGAGACACGGUCCAGACUCCUACAGGAGGCAGCAAUGGGAAUAUUGGACAAUGGGCGAAAGCCUGAUCCAGCCAUGCCGCGUGUGUGAAGAAGGUCUUCGGAUUGUAAAGCACUUUAAGUUGGGAGGAAGGGCAGUAAGUUAAUACCUUGCUUUUUUGACGUUACCAACAGAAUAAGCACCGGCUAACUUCGUG